Camelus dromedarius (Arabian camel) is the source of this 859-nucleotide long non-coding RNA. RefSeq lists it as uncharacterized. The transcript has 7 exons. Lineage: Eukaryota; Metazoa; Chordata; Mammalia; Artiodactyla; Camelidae. The record is from RefSeq and is a predicted model, not a curated record.
GAUAACUCUGUCUGCUUAGACCACACAUGAGAACAACAGUUAGAAUUGCCUGAAGGGAUGACUGGACAGCCAGUCCAGGCAGAGCCUCUCCCUGGAGUGUCUCGAAUGUGUGCAACGUGCAUGAACGCUGGAUGUGGCUCAGUGAGCUGAGAGGUGUGGAGCAGCGCACUUGGCAGGAUGAGUCCCUGCGGAUGGUGGAUGAGGAGGAGCCGUGAGCACUGUUCGUUCUAGAAGGACUGUUGUUUCUGAUUCCCUGGCUGAACUCGGAGCCCUUGGGGCUUACCCGCUUGGAUCAACUUGCUCUGUCAGAUGCCGUCUCUAGUGGACCUCCCUCUCCAGACUCCUGCUCACCCUGGCUUCCUAAGAUGAAGCAUUUGAAUGUGGAUUUUCCCUGCCACAGCUUCCUACCUGUGUGGGCAAGAGAUUCCUGGCCUGGAACGUGGGACCCUUGGAUCCUCUAUGACCUGAACGAGCACUACAAGUGAGAUGCCACUCUCUGCCCUGACUUCGGAUGGAGAACCAGCAGAAAGCGAGACUGCCAGUCAGCUCCGCCACUCACACAAGUCUAAUAAUUAGCAAUCACUGGGGGAAAUACAGGAAACCAAUUCCAGUUGAAAGAUUUUAAGGAAAUAAGUGAGAUGAGAAGAGUAGACUGAUCUACUGGAAUAUCCAUCUGCAACAUACCCAUGAAAAGUGAUCUCCUGAGGAAUAUUUUCAGGGGCCAAAGAACAAGAGGACAAGACCAGGGAUGGAGAGACGCAGCUGAAGCCACCUGCUGGAUCUCAGCACUGAGCCUGCAUCCCCCGAGGACAGCAACGACCUUCGAAGAAAUAAAAGCAAGAAUAAACAAAUGGGACCU